This 378-nucleotide ribosomal RNA is filed under the name uncultured bacterium. RNAcentral's name for it is "bacterial SSU rRNA". It matches the Rfam family "Bacterial small subunit ribosomal RNA", at positions 521 to 898 of the family's 1533-position model. The record is from RNAcentral.
UAAUACGGAGGGUGCAAGCGUUAAUCGGAAUUACUGGGCGUAAAGCGCACGCAGGCGGUUUGUUAAGUCAGAUGUGAAAUCCCCGAGCUUAACUUGGGAACUGCAUUUGAAACUGGCAAGCUAGAGUCUUGUAGAGGGGGGUAGAAUUCCAGGUGUAGCGGUGAAAUGCGUAGAGAUCUGGAGGAAUACCGGUGGCGAAGGCGGCCCCCUGGACAAAGACUGACGCUCAGGUGCGAAAGCGUGGGGAGCAAACAGGAUUAGAUACCCUGGUAGUCCACGCUGUAAACGAUGUCGACUUGGAGGUUGUGCCCUUGAGGCGUUGCUUCCGGAGCUAACGCGUUAAGUCGACCGCCUGGGGAGUACGGCCGCAAGGUUAAA